This 68-nucleotide transfer RNA is filed under the name Eucryptorrhynchus scrobiculatus. RNAcentral's name for it is "tRNA-Ala". The record is from RNAcentral. Lineage: Eukaryota; Metazoa; Arthropoda; Insecta; Coleoptera; Curculionidae.
AGGAUAAUAGUUAAAAAAUAACGUUUAAGUUGCAUUUAAAAUUUAUUGUCUAUCAACAAUUUAUCUUU